AUGGCGAAGGGUGCGGGUUACGGGCUUGGGUUCGCGUGCUUCGCUCUUGUGGCGGCGAUGGCCGGCGCGGCGCAGUUCAAGGUCGGCGGCGACAGCGGGUGGAGCGUGGCCGGCGCCAGCAAGGAGUCGUACAACACUUGGGCGAUGAAAAACAGGUUCCAGGUCGGAGACACACUAGUGUUCGUGUACCCCAAGGACAAGGAUUCUGUGCUGGUGGUGCAGCCGGCGGACUACAACGCCUGCAACACGUCGUCGUACGACAAGAAGUUCGCCGACGGCAACACCGUCUUCAGCCUGGACCGCCCCGGCGCCUUCUUCUUCGUCAGCGGCGUCGAGGCCAACUGCCGCGCCAACGAGAAGCUCAUCGUCAUGGUCCUCGCCGGCCGCAACGACACAGGCACCGGCGCCGCGCCGCCGCCCGCCGCUCCGGCACCGGCAACGUCAUCUCCACCUCCGGCCGCUUCCAGCCCGCCUCCGGCAACGCCCCCCUCACCACUCCCCGCGGCGCCCGCUCCUAGCGCGCCUAGUCCCACCUCCGCUCCUCCUCCGGCCUCCGCUUCCGCCCCGCCACCGGCCUCUUCACCUGCAUCUGCUCCUCCGACCUCGUCGCCGACUGCUCCGGCGUCCCCGCCUCUCCCCACUCCGUCGGCCCCGACCGGCGCCCCGCCGAUGGCGCCCUCAGCGAACGCUCCCGCCGGCGCGGACGGAGGAAGCACGAACUCAACGGGCACGUCAUCAUCCCCGCCCCCCGCCGGCUCCAACGAGCGGAACGGCGCCACGCUCACGGUUACGGGCGCCGCGGGUCUCGCCGGCUCGGCCGCGGCCUGCAUCGUCGGCUUCGCCAUGCUCGCGCUCUGA
This 858-nucleotide ribosomal RNA is filed under the name Triticum aestivum (bread wheat). Its description in RNAcentral is "partial small subunit ribosomal RNA". The record is from RNAcentral. Lineage: Eukaryota; Viridiplantae; Streptophyta; Magnoliopsida; Poales; Poaceae.